Molecule: ribosomal RNA, 475 nt
Filed under: uncultured bacterium
Lineage: Bacteria
Description: bacterial SSU rRNA
Rfam family: Bacterial small subunit ribosomal RNA
Source: RNAcentral
GACGAACGCUGGCGGCGUGCCUAACACAUGCAAGUCGAGCGGGGUUGAGGCGAGAGGUAACUCGAACUUCUACCUAGCGGCGGACGGGUGAGUAACGCGUGGGCAACCUGCCUCAAGGUUUGGGAUAACAGCCCGAAAGGGCUGCUAAUACCGGAUAUGCCUAUGGCCUCGCAUGGGGCUAUGAGCAAAGGGGAAACCCGCCUUGAGAUGGGCCCGCGUCCCAUCAGCUAGUUGGUGAGGUAACAGCUCACCAAGGCGACGACGGGUAGCCGGCCUGAGAGGGUGACCGGCCACACUGGGACUGAGACACGGCCCAGACUCCUACGGGGGGCAGCAGUGGGGGAUCUUGCACAAUGGGCGAAAGCCUGAUGCAGCGACGCCGCGUGAGCGAAGAAGGCCUUCGGUUGUAAAGCUCUGUCUGGAGGGACGAACAAAAUGACGGUACCUCCGGAGGAAGGCCACGGCUAACUACGUG